This 414-nucleotide ribosomal RNA is filed under the name Triticum aestivum (bread wheat). Its description in RNAcentral is "partial small subunit ribosomal RNA". The record is from RNAcentral. Lineage: Eukaryota; Viridiplantae; Streptophyta; Magnoliopsida; Poales; Poaceae.
AUGAGCCUGGCCGCCGCUCUUGGUGGCACCGUCGACGACGCAUGUGGCUCGUUGCCUUCAUGGUUGUUGGUGCCGCCGCUCGCUGGCGUGUGGUUGGUGAGUUGCUGCCUUCCCACCGUGUGCAUGUGCUGUCGCUGCCACUUGCAGCUUCCUCGCAUUUGCUGCUUCGCUGCUACGUGCAUGAGGGAGCUUGGUGGCCGGCUGCCGGCGUACGUGCUGCUAGCUGCUGCUACUUUGCUGCUUGAGAGAUGGCAUGCAAGCGAGCCGGAGAACGAACGGUGCGCACCUGAAGCUAGAGGUGCUCAAGGACUACGCCGGCAGGCUGCUGCAGCUGCUCGAGUCCUCCACCGGCGUGCUUCGAGUUCUCCAUGGCUGUGUGCCUGUGUAUGGGAGUGUGGAUGUGUCAGACGGUGA